GGAAUAUUGGUCAAUAGCCUAACGGCUGAACCAGCAACUUGGAGGAACGUAUAGUGAAAGCUAGUUGUAUUAAUAAUUAAUUCAUACAAUAUCGACUUAGUCGAAUAAAGUUCUGAGUAGAAUUAUGAUAAUGACAUUAUCUACUUAUGUGUCUUGACCAAAUUACGUGCCAGCAGUCGCGGUAAUACGUAGAAGACUAGUGUUAUUCAUCUUUAAUAGGUUUAAAGGGUACCUAGACGGUAAAUAAAGCCUUAGUUGGGACUAAUUUACUAGAGUUACUUAUGAGGGGGUAUUAAAGUACUGAUGGUGUAGAGAUACAAUUCUGUAAUACCUUUUUUCGAAGGAAAAGCAACGGCACAGGUAUAGGCGAAAGCAUCCCCUUAUGUGAUAACUGACGUUGAAGCAGGAUUAGAGACCCUGGUAGUCAAAGCAGAAAAUGAUGAGUGUCAUAGAUUAGAUAUUUGUUUAUUCUAUAAAUGAAAGUGUAAGCACUCCACCUCAAGAGUAAUUUGGCAACAUUGGAACUGAAAUCAUUAGACCGUUUCUGAAACCAGUAGUGAAGUAUGUUGUUUAAUUUGAUAAUCCGCAAAAAACCUUACCACAACUUGAAUAUUUUCAUCUAAAUAAAAAAUACAAGUGUUGCACGGCUGUCUUCAGUUAAUGUCGUGAGACUAUGGUUAGAUCCAUUAAAUUAACGUAAACCCUUGCUUUAUUUUUAUAUAAAGUAGUUCUCCACUAUAUUGGAUAAGAUAACAGGGACUAAGACAAGUCAUCAUGGCCUAAAUGUUGUGGGC
RNAcentral lists this ribosomal RNA (794 nucleotides) under Micarea magellanica. RNAcentral describes it as "SSU rRNA". It matches the Rfam family "Bacterial small subunit ribosomal RNA", at positions 358 to 1214 of the family's 1533-position model. Lineage: Eukaryota; Fungi; Ascomycota; Lecanoromycetes; Lecanorales; Micareaceae. The record is from RNAcentral.